AUUUAUGGCGGCUGUGCGGGGGACAUCUUCGGGUGUGCCGGAUUCUCUUGUCCGGUCGGCUAACCCGCGUACAGCUGCCACCCAC
Molecule: non-coding RNA, 85 nt
Organism: Pseudomonas fluorescens
Lineage: Bacteria; Pseudomonadati; Pseudomonadota; Gammaproteobacteria; Pseudomonadales; Pseudomonadaceae
Source: Rfam